CCUGCCUUGGAGUGGGAAUAACAGCUGGAAACAGCUGCUAAUACCGCAUAAUGCAGUUGGGUCGCAUGGCUCUGACUGCCAAAGAUUUAUCGCUCUGAGAUGGACUCGCGUCUGAUUAGCUAGUUGGUGGGGCAACGGCCCACCAAGGCGACGAUCAGUAGCCGGACUGAGAGGUUGGCCGGCCACAUUGGGACUGAGACACGGCCCAGACUCCUACGGAAGGCAGCAG
RNAcentral lists this ribosomal RNA (229 nucleotides) under uncultured bacterium. RNAcentral describes it as "partial 16S ribosomal RNA". It matches the Rfam family "Bacterial small subunit ribosomal RNA", at positions 125 to 354 of the family's 1533-position model. The record is from RNAcentral.